RNAcentral lists this long non-coding RNA (270 nucleotides) under Coccomyxa subellipsoidea. RNAcentral's name for it is "long non-coding RNA (CSUB_LNC000279)". Lineage: Eukaryota; Viridiplantae; Chlorophyta; Trebouxiophyceae; Coccomyxaceae. The record is from RNAcentral.
GUGAGUAAGAUCUCUGAUGUUUAUCUGGUUCUACCGUUUUGGGUGUAUUGGAGCCUCACCGUCAAGUCGCCUGAAAUUCACAUGCCGAUGGCCAGUAGUCUGAACUCAUUCGCUUCGUGAGAAACUUCCGUCAGUAUUUGAGGAUCAUCAGUGAGAUACCGUACUCCAUAUCGGACUCCAGGCAUCGUACUUUUCACGGAGAAUGUGACGAAGGGCAGUUUCAUGAUGUGUAGAUGCGCUCAUACACGUCUCUGAGUCUCGAUACAAGCA